Molecule: ribosomal RNA, 975 nt
Filed under: Actinomyces oris
Lineage: Bacteria; Bacillati; Actinomycetota; Actinomycetes; Actinomycetales; Actinomycetaceae
Description: bacterial SSU rRNA
Rfam family: Bacterial small subunit ribosomal RNA
Source: RNAcentral
CGGUAGCUGGAUAAGAAGCGCCGGCUAACUACGUGCCAGCAGCCGCGGUAAUACGUAGGGCGCGAGCGUUGUCCGGAAUUAUUGGGCGUAAAGAGCUCGUAGGCGGCUGGUCGCGUCUGUCGUGAAAUCCUCUGGCUUAACUGGGGGCUUGCGGUGGGUACGGGCCGGCUUGAGUGCGGUAGGGGAGACUGGAACUCCUGGUGUAGCGGUGGAAUGCGCAGAUAUCAGGAAGAACACCGGUGGCGAAGGCGGGUCUCUGGNCCGUUACUGACGCUGAGGAGCGAAAGCGUGGGGAGCGAACAGGAUUAGAUACCCUGGUAGUCCACGCCGUAAACGUUGGGCACUAGGUGUGGGGGNCCUUUUCCGGGUUUUCCGCGCCGUAGCUAACGCAUUAAGUGCCCCGCCUGGGGAGUACGGCCGCAAGGCUAAAACUCAAAGGAAUUGACGGGGGCCCGCACAAGCGGCGGAGCAUGCGGAUUAAUUCGAUGCAACGCGAAGAACCUUACCAAGGCUUGACAUGUGCCGGUCGGCUCCGGAGACGGGGUUUCCUCCUUGUGGGGCCGGUUCACAGGUGGUGCAUGGUUGUCGUCAGCUCGUGUCGUGAGAUGUUGGGUUAAGUCCCGCAACGAGCGCAACCCUUGUCCCGUGUUGCCAGCACGUUGUGGUGGGGACUCGCGGGAGACUGCCGGGGUCAACUCGGAGGAAGGUGGGGAUGACGUCAAAUCAUCAUGCCCCUUAUGUCUUGGGCUUCACGCAUGCUACAAUGGCCGGUACAGAGGGCUGCGAUACCGUGAGGUGGAGCGAAUCCCUUAAAGCCGGUCUCAGUUCGGAUCGGUGUCUGCAACUCGACACCGUGAAGUUGGAGUCGCUAGUAAUCGCAGAUCAGCAACGCUGCGGUGAAUACGUUCUCGGGCCUUGUACACACCGCCCGUCACGUCAUGAAAGUCGGCAACACCCGAAGCCCGUGGCCCUACG